ACAUACGACCAUAGACUCAAGAGAAUUGGGCAUCCCGUCUGCUCUGCCAUACACAAGCUUGAGAUCGGUGGAUUAGUAGUUGGGUGGGUGACCACCAGCGAAUACCCACUGUUGUAUGUU
This 120-nucleotide ribosomal RNA is filed under the name Pseudogymnoascus sp. 05NY08. Lineage: Eukaryota; Fungi; Ascomycota; Leotiomycetes; Thelebolales; Thelebolaceae. The record is from RNAcentral.